CCUUGAUUUCCAUAAUUUUGACUGUGAUUAUUCUCUUGGGGACUUUGUGGAUGUCUCGCUUGUAAUUCAGCCAUAAAAUUUGCUUCUUGAGCGUAUCUACGUUGAAGUUCUUGUUGCCAACCGCCAUCCGAUUCGUCUUCACCAUCAUCUUCGAAAUCUAAUAAAUUUUGAAAUUUUAAAAAAUAUAUGAAAAAUUUAGGGGAAGUUUAGGCUAAGCAACUUUCACAGGUAUUUUAAUAUCAGCAGACAUUUAUUGAUAUCGUUCUGUAUAUUGAUUCUUUUACCAUUUCAUAUUUAUCAACAACAAUUCUUUUCAAACACUCUCUCUUAACAGUCAUUAAUUUAAUGUGAACAUACUAAUAAGUUAACAAUAAAAUACCUCAGGAAAUAUAACCACAAAUACACGUGGUUACAAAUAAUAAGCAAUCUAAAGUCAGGAAAAGGAACACAGGAAGUUAGAAAAAAAAUGAAAUCUUCACCAAAUAAAAGGAAAACUCUUCAGGAUUAUCAUGGAGAUGUUUGUACAACAACAAAUGGAGGCCACAUCGAACUGUACUGAACAAGUAUGAAAUUAGGAGAGCUUUCCUUUUAUUUGGUGCUGAUUUCACAUUUCUAUUUUGCCUUGUUCCUUUCUUGUGACCGAUCAAAAGUGCAUUAUGACUUUAUGGACACACUGUAUAUCAAUAUUCUAUUUUAGCUUGCAAGAAAAAAGUCCUUUUGGGAAUCGUGUUGUUCCUCCAAUCUAUGUGUCUAUGCCACUACCAAAGGCGUAUGAAAUGGAAAAAAUCAUGUCAUUGUCUUGAGUCUUUUCCUGCACAUUGUAAUAUUUGUUCCAGUUUCUCUUGAUUCUUUUACAUCUUGAUAAUCAUGCCCAAUUUGUAUCAAAAUUUUAUUUAUUCAAUAAUACUCUCAGCAUCUCUGAAUAUAGUAUAAAUCAAGCAAAAUUGUCCCGAACUAUGUUACAAAGGAAUCAUCUGAUGCCUAUGAGAGAGAGAAUGACUCAAAGAUUAAAGUUAUAAAAAGUACGAGAUUAUUUUGUUGGCCACUUAACCGUAACUUCCCCUAUAAGAAAAAGAACUUGUUAAAAAUAAAUUUCUUACCCUUUUAAAAUUAAAAAUAAAUGUAAAAAGUGUUAAUUUAGAUUUCAUUAAUCUUAAUGUGUGUUUUGUGCCGUUUGAAAUAAAAAUAUUCUUUUUUUGUGAACUUGGAAAUAUUCUUUAUUACUGGGUGGUGUAAACUAUUUUUGAGACGAUCAUUAAAGUACAAAAAACAAAUACUUUUGGC
Molecule: non-coding RNA, 1284 nt
Organism: Onthophagus taurus
Lineage: Eukaryota; Metazoa; Arthropoda; Insecta; Coleoptera; Scarabaeidae
Source: RefSeq, a predicted model, not a curated record